UAAGCGACUAAGCGUACACGGUGGAUGCCCUGGCAGUCAGAGGCGAUGAAGGACGUGCUAAUCUGCGAUAAGCGUCGGUAAGGUGAUAUGAACCGUUAUAACCGGCGAUUUCCGAAUGGGGAAACCCAGUGUGUUUCGACACACUAUCAUUAACUGAAUCCAUAGGUUAAUGAGGCGAACCGGGGGAACUGAAACAUCUAAGUACCCCGAGGAAAGAAAUCAACCGAGAUUCCCCCAGUAGCGGCGAGCGAACGGGGAGCAGCCCAGAGCCUGAAUCAGUGUGUGUGUUAGUGGAAGCGUCUGGAAAGGCGCGCGAUACAGGGUGACAGCCCCGUACACAAAAAUACACAUACUGUGAGCUCGAUGAGUAGGGCGGGACACGUGGUAUCCUGUCUGAAUAUGGGGGGACCAUCCUCCAAGGCUAAAUACUCCUGACUGACCGAUAGUGAACCAGUACCGUGAGGGAAAGGCGAAAAGAACCCCGGCGAGGGGAGUGAAAAAGAACCUGAAACCGUGUACGUACAAGCAGUGGGAGCACGCUUAGGCGUGUGACUGCGUACCUUUUGUAUAAUGGGUCAGCGACUUAUAUUCUGUAGCAAGGUUAACCGAAUAGGGGAGCCGAAGGGAAACCGAGUCUUAACUGGGCGUUAAGUUGCAGGGUAUAGACCCGAAACCCGGUGAUCUAGCCAUGGGCAGGUUGAAGGUUGGGUAACACUAACUGGAGGACCGAACCGACUAAUGUUGAAAAAUUAGCGGAUGACUUGUGGCUGGGGGUGAAAGGCCAAUCAAAACCGGGAGAUAGCUGGUUCUCCCCGAAAGCUAUUUAGGUAGCGCCUCGUGAAUUCAUCUCCGGGGGUAGAGCACUGUUUCGGCAAGGGGGUCAUCCCGACUUACCAACCCGAUGCAAACUGCGAAUACCGGAGAAUGUUAUCACGGGAGACACACGGCGGGUGCUAACGUCCGUCGUGAAGAGGGAAACAACCCAGACCGCCAGCUAAGGUCCCAAAGUCAUGGUUAAGUGGGAAACGAUGUGGGAGGGCCCAGACAGCCAGGAUGUUGGCUUAGAAGCAGCCAUCAUUUAAAGAAAGCGUAAUAGCUCACUGGUCGAGUCGGCCUGCGCGGAAGAUGUAACGGGGCUAAACCAUGCACCGAAGCUGCGGCAGCGACGCUGAUGCGUUGUUGGGUAGGGGAGCGUUCUGUAAGCCUGCGAAGGUGUGCUGUGAGGCAUGCUGGAGGUAUCAGAAGUGCGAAUGCUGACAUAAGUAACGAUAAAGCGGGUGAAAAGCCCGCUCGCCGGAAGACCAAGGGUUCCUGUCCAACGUUAAUCGGGGCAGGGUGAGUCGACCCCUAAGGCGAGGCCGAAAGGCGUAGUCGAUGGGAAACAGGUUAAUAUUCCUGUACUUGGUGUUACUGCGAAGGGGGGACGGAGAAGGCUAUGUUGGCCGGGCGACGGUUGUCCCGGUUUAAGCGUGUAGGCUGGUUUUCCAGGCAAAUCCGGAAAAUCAAGGCUGAGGCGUGAUGACGAGGCACUACGGUGCUGAAGCAACAAAUGCCCUGCUUCCAGGAAAAGCCUCUAAGCAUCAGGUAACAUCAAAUCGUACCCCAAACCGACACAGGUGGUCAGGUAGAGAAUACCAAGGCGCUUGAGAGAACUCGGGUGAAGGAACUAGGCAAAAUGGUGCCGUAACUUCGGGAGAAGGCACGCUGAUAUGUAGGUGAAGUCCCUCGCGGAUGGAGCUGAAAUCAGUCGAAGAUACCAGCUGGCUGCAACUGUUUAUUAAAAACACAGCACUGUGCAAACACGAAAGUGGACGUAUACGGUGUGACGCCUGCCCGGUGCCGGAAGGUUAAUUGAUGGGGUCAGCGCAAGCGAAGCUCUUGAUCGAAGCCCCGGUAAACGGCGGCCGUAACUAUAACGGUCCUAAGGUAGCGAAAUCCCUUGUCGGGUAAGUUCCGACCUGCACGAAUGGCGUAAUGAUGGCCAGGCUGUCUCCACCCGAGACUCAGUGAAAUUGAACUCGCUGUGAAGAUGCAGUGUACCCGCGGCAAGACGGAAAGACCCCGUGAACCUUUACUAUAGCUUGACACUGAACAUUGAGCCUUGAUGUGUAGGAUAGGUGGGAGGCUUUGAAGUGUGGACGCCAGUCUGCAUGGAGCCGACCUUGAAAUACCACCCUUUAAUGUUUGAUGUUCUAACGUUGACCCGUGAUCCGGGUUGCGGACAGUGUCUGGUGGGUAGUUUGACUGGGGCGGUCUCCUCCUAAAGAGUAACGGAGGAGCACGAAGGUUGGCUAAUCCUGGUCGGACAUCAGGAGGUUAGUGCAAUGACAUAAGCCAGCUUGACUGCGAGCGUGACGGCGCGAGCAGGUGCGAAAGCAGGUCAUAGUGAUCCGGUGGUUCUGAAUGGAAGGGCCAUCGCUCAACGGAUAAAAGGUACUCCGGGGAUAACAGGCUGAUACCGCCCAAGAGUUCAUAUCGACGGCGGUGUUUGGCACCUCGAUGUCGGCUCAUCACAUCCUGGGGCUGAAGUAGGUCCCAAGGGUAUGGCUGUUCGCCAUUUAAAGUGGUACGCGAGCUGGGUUUAGAACGUCGUGAGACAGUUCGGUCCCUAUCUGCCGUGGGCGCUGGAGAACUGAGGGGGGCUGCUCCUAGUACGAGAGGACCGGAGUGGACGCAUCACUGGUGUUCGGGUUGUCAUGCCAAUGGCACUGCCCGGUAGCUAAAUGCGGAAGAGAUAAGUGCUGAAAGCAUCUAAGCACGAAACUUGCCCCGAGAUGAGUUCUCCCUGACUCCUUGAGAGUCCUGAAGGAACGUUGAAGACGACGACGUUGAUAGGCCGGGUGUGUAAGCGCAGCGAUGCGUUGAGCUAACCGGUACUAAUGAACCGUGAGGCUUAACCU
RNAcentral lists this ribosomal RNA (2900 nucleotides) under Escherichia coli DEC10E. Its description in RNAcentral is "bacterial LSU rRNA". It matches the Rfam family "Bacterial large subunit ribosomal RNA". Lineage: Bacteria; Pseudomonadati; Pseudomonadota; Gammaproteobacteria; Enterobacterales; Enterobacteriaceae. The record is from RNAcentral.